Molecule: ribosomal RNA, 460 nt
Filed under: uncultured bacterium
Lineage: Bacteria
Description: partial 16S ribosomal RNA
Rfam family: Bacterial small subunit ribosomal RNA
Source: RNAcentral
CCUACGGGCGGCAGCAGUGAGGAAUAUUGGUCAAUGGGCGAGAGCCUGAACCAGCCAAGUCGCGUGAAGGAUGAAGGUUCUAUGGUUUGUAAACUUCUUUUAUAUGGGAGUAAAGUGAGGAACGUGUUCCUUUUUGUAUGUACCCUAUGAAUAAGCAUCGGCUAACCCCGUGCCAGCAGCCGCGGGAAAACGGAGGCGACGAGCGUUUACCGGAUUUAUUGGGUUUAAAGGGUGCGUAGGUGGUUCAUUAAGUCAAGGGUGAAAGUUUUUGGCUCAACCAUAGAACUGCCGUUGAAACUGGUGAACUUGAGUAUGUUUGAGGUAGGCGGAAUGCGUGGUGUAGCGGUGAAAUGCAUAGAUAUCACGCAGAACUCCGAUUGCGAAGGCAGCUUACUAGACUAUAACUGACGCUGAGGCACGAAAGCGUGGGGAUCAAACAGGAUUAGAUACCCGGGUAGUC